CAGUCGCCGCGGGGAAAACGGAGGGUGCAAGCGUUAAUCGGAAUUACUGGGCGUAAAGCGCACGCAGGCGGUCUGUCAAGUCAGAUGUGAAAUCCCCGGGCUUAACCUGGGAACUGCAUUUGAAACUGGCAGGCUAGAGUCUUGUAGAGGGGGGUAGAAUUCCAGGUGUAGCGGUGAAAUGCGUAGAGAUCUGGAGGAAUACCGGUGGCGAAGGCGGCCCCCUGGACAAAGACUGACGCUCAGGUGCGAAAGCGUGGGGAGCAAACAGGAUUAGAUACCCCAGUAGUCCCUGUCUCUUAUA
This 301-nucleotide ribosomal RNA is filed under the name uncultured bacterium. RNAcentral describes it as "partial 16S ribosomal RNA". It matches the Rfam family "Bacterial small subunit ribosomal RNA", at positions 509 to 808 of the family's 1533-position model. The record is from RNAcentral.